GGAAGUAAAAGUUGUAACAAGGUUUCCGUAGGUGAACCUGCGGAAGGAUCAUUACAGAGUUCAUGCCCUCACGGGUAGAUCUCCCACCCUUGAAUAUUUAUACCUUAGUUGCUUUGGCAGGCCGUGGAAACACCAUGGGCUCCGGCUUAUGCGUGCCUGCCAGAGGAAACAAACUCUGUUUUUAGUGAUGUCUGAGUACUAUAUAAUAGUUAAAACUUUCAACAACGGAUCUCUUGGUUCGG
RNAcentral lists this unclassified non-coding RNA (242 nucleotides) under plant metagenome. Its description in RNAcentral is "partial contains small subunit ribosomal RNA, internal transcribed spacer 1, and 5.8S ribosomal RNA". The stretch from base 1 to 54 matches the Rfam family "Eukaryotic small subunit ribosomal RNA", at positions 1778 to 1831 of the family's 1831-position model. The record is from RNAcentral.